GACCUCGGAUCAGGUAGGAAUACCCGCUGAACUUAAGCAUAUCAAUAAGCGGAGGAAAAGAAACCAACAGGGAUUACCUCAGUAACGGCGAGUGAAGCGGUAAUAGCUCAAAUUUGAAAUCUGGCUCUUUCAGGGUCCGAGUCGUAAUUUGUAGAGGAUGUUUCGGGCACGGUUACGGUUUAAAUUUCUUGGAACAGAAUGUCAAAGAGGGUGAGAGUCCCGUCUUGAACCGAUUACUUCGUCCAUGUGAAACUCCUUCGACGAGUCGAGUUGUUUGGGAAUGCAGCUCAAAAUGGGUGGUAAAUUUCAUCUAAAGCUAAAUAUUGGCCAGAGACCGAUAGCGCACAAGUAGAGUGAUCGAAAGAUGAAAAGCACUUUGAAAAGAGAGUUAAACAGUAUGUGAAAUUGUUGAAAGGGAAGCGCUUGUAAUCAG
This 433-nucleotide ribosomal RNA is filed under the name uncultured fungus. RNAcentral describes it as "eukaryotic LSU rRNA". It matches the Rfam family "Eukaryotic large subunit ribosomal RNA", at positions 1 to 432 of the family's 3401-position model. Lineage: Eukaryota; Fungi. The record is from RNAcentral.